This is a long non-coding RNA of Planococcus citri (citrus mealybug), 749 nucleotides long. RefSeq lists it as uncharacterized. The record is from RefSeq and is a predicted model, not a curated record. Lineage: Eukaryota; Metazoa; Arthropoda; Insecta; Hemiptera; Pseudococcidae. The transcript has 4 exons.
UGAUUUUAUUAUUAGACGUGAAGCAGGCUCGAAACCAAUAGAACCACAAGCCAUUUUUGUCAAAAAAAAUAAAGCCUACGUGUUAUUUGAUACGUUUGAAAACGCCUAUGCUAUUUGGGAAAGAAUCAUAUCGUCCCCAGAAACAGUGGUUGGUAUCUUACCCGAAUACCUUGAAGAUGCUACCUUAAAAACGGUCAAUGCAACGGACCAGUUACCAGGGGAAGACCCGGCCGAAUUGAAAAUCUCCAAAAUCACAGACUCAUACGACACAACCCUGUACAUUAAACCCUGGAACCAUGAAAGGGUUAUAAAACAGUUUCAGGGCAGUAAAAUCGUCCCAAAAGGUAGCAUUACAGAAUACAGAGUGGAAACAAAUAAUAACUGUAGUGCCGCUGUGACGACAGUGACCUUCAAAUUCAAGACAUUGGAAAAUAUUCUAAUCGCCUAUCAGAAAAUAAAACGUUUCCUGAAAGAUGAUGGGAUGACUGCUGAAGCGACCAUCACUCCGCAAUUAUUGUCAAAUCCUGGACAAUGUGAAAGGUUUCUGGGGGAUCCGCCCGACGACCCGCCAAAGGACUAAUCUCCACUUUCUUCUCGUUAUAAGAUAACAAUUAUUUAAUUUUCAAUUACAUAAUUUUCAUCCGCAUUUAAUUCAUUUUUGCUUUUUUUUUAAAUUUUUAAUUCGAAUUCAUUUUUAUUUUCUACUAUGUACUUAUUGAGUAGGUAUCUAUUAUAUUCCCAUUUUAGUU